This 1053-nucleotide long non-coding RNA is filed under the name Papio anubis (olive baboon). RNAcentral's name for it is "lncRNA (ENSPANG00000043613.1)". The record is from RNAcentral. Lineage: Eukaryota; Metazoa; Chordata; Mammalia; Primates; Cercopithecidae.
AUGGCUGGAGCGCGGAGCCCCGCCCAACAGGUCAGGGGCAAGAGUUCGCAAUCCUGGGGUCGCGCGGGGCAGCAAGAGCGCCCUGGAGGCGGCAGCCAAGACUCCAGCAGCGGCCGCCGCGAACAGCGCGAGGGCUGCCGACAACUCUCUCGCCUGCCCCCCGCACCCCCAGAAGCCGAGGUCCGAGCAGCCGCCGCUGCUUUGGGUGGGGGGGAGGUGACAGGGCUGCGCGCGCCGCGCUCUUGGCUGGGGCUGCGCGGGCCCGGGGCGCUGCGGGCUGCUCAGCUGCAGCUGCGGCGCUCUGCGCCUCCUCUGGGCGCACUGCCUGGGAGCACAAGACGGGCUUGUCUGAUGCUGCCGCGGGAGCUGAGGUCUUGCCUGGAGAUCCGAAUGAGACACCACGUCAACCGGCGCGGGGAGUCCCGUGAAGACAUGAGGGCGCCAGGAGCGCAGGCUGGUCUUCUAGAGCCGGGGCUGGGGGGCCGGGAGCCGGGGUGGGGGAGGGGAGGUGCAGGGCCCCCGGGAGGGAGGGGUCGGGAGGCGUCGGCUGGGCCGGGCUGUGGGGGAGGAGAGGCGAGCAGCAAGGAGGCGCUGGAGUUCCCGAGGCGGGGGUCCGGGGUGCGAGUGGGCUACGCGAGGCGCCCCUCCCUGGGCUGCAGGGAGAGCGCUGAGAGCGUGGAGACGCCGCGGGGCUUGCGCCUUCUCCUCCGGGUGGAUCAAAAAUCGGCAGGAAUGUGCGCCGCUCUGCGCGGGCCAGCCGAAGGGGGCAAUCCGAACUUGACCGCGGCGCCCGCGCCGGGCUUCGCCCCCGCGCGCCGCACUGGGAGGGAGGCGCUUUGCCGGUGCAGAGCCGCGCCGGGCUUUCCUCGCGCCUGUCGAAGGCCGGCCUUCCCGCUCGGUUGUCUCGUCCUCUCGCUUCUCCGCAGGGCAGGAGGCAGCGGCGAGAAAAGGAGCUGCCGGGCAGCUGGAGUUCUAGCACCGAGAAGGAGAGAUGCGGAGCGGCCGGGUGAGGGAAGCCGAGUGUUUGCCAGGAGACGCUGCGAGUGGGGAUGA